This is a long non-coding RNA of Cololabis saira (Pacific saury), 522 nucleotides long. RefSeq lists it as uncharacterized. The record is from RefSeq and is a predicted model, not a curated record. Lineage: Eukaryota; Metazoa; Chordata; Actinopteri; Beloniformes; Belonidae. The transcript is spliced from 3 exons.
ACAGACGUGCCCCCUCUUCGUCGUGUUUUACGUGAAAUCGUUACUUUACAUUAUUCUGUAAACCCUGGUAGCCUGUUGCUGUGUUGUGGCUGCAGCAGCAGCUCCACAUAACAGACGUGGGGGAAAAAAUCGCUAAUGGUUUAACUUUUCACCGGUUCCUGCUCGGAGGCAGAACCUCCAAACAUCUGAGAUAACAAACAGUCGUCGGCUCGCUUGGCUGUAAGACGACCAAAUAUAACCUUCCACAUUAUCCCGAUGUCGAUGAGAGUCUGCUCCCUGCAUUUUCAUUCUGGAAAACCAGCAAAUGAAAUGUACAGCUCCCACCCAGACUGAGCCCCAUCUCUCAACCUGGGCCACACUAAGAUAAAUGUCACAUCGACUGCACGCUAUGAGAGAAGGGAAGGAGAAAACGGCGGAGGACUGACAGUACACCUGCGAUGGAUGACACAGUUAUGGAUGACCUUCUUCCAGCAGUGGAGACACCAGCACCAGUAGACGAUGGACCUGACCAGAGACCGCUGA